AAUCAACGCUGGCGGCGUGCCUAACACAUGCAAGUCGAACGAGAAAGGGGAGCAAUCCCUGAGUAAAGUGGCGACCGGGUGAGUAACACGUGACUAACCUACCUUCGAGUGGGGGAUAACCUAGGGAAACCUGGGCUAAUACCGCAUAAUAUUUUUGGAGUGGAAACUCCGGAGAUCAAAGGAGCAAUUCGCUGGAAGAGGGGGUCGCGGCUGAUUAGCUAGUUGGCGGGGUAACGGCCCAUCAAGGCGAAGAUCGGUAGCCGGCCUGAGAGGGCGCACGGCCACACUGGAACUGAAACACGGUCCAGACUCCUACGGGAGGCAGCAGUGGGGAAUUUUGCGCAAUGGGGGAAACCCUGACGCAGCAACGCCGCGUGGAGGAUGAAGUCCCUUGGGACGUAAACUCCUUUCGACCGGGACGAUAAUGACGGUACCGGUGGAAGAAGCCCCGGCUAACUUCGUGCCAGCAGCCGCGGUAAUACGAGGGGGGCGAGCGUUGUUCGGAAUUAUUGGGCGUAAAGGGCGCGUAGGCGGUGCGGUAAGUCACCUGUGAAACCUCUGGGCUUAACUCAGAGCCUGCAGGCGAAACUGCCGUGCUGGAGGGUGGGAGAGGUGCGUGGAAUUCCUGGUGUAGCGGUGAAAUGCGUAGAUAUCAGGAGGAACACCUGUGGCGAAAGCGGCUCACUGGACCACAACUGACGCUGAUGCACGAAAGCUAGGGGAGCAAACAGGAUUAGAUACCCUGGUAGUCCUAGCCCUAAACGAUGAUUGCUUGGUGUGACGGGUACCCAAUCCCGCCGUGCCGUAGCUAACGCGUUAAGCAAUCCUGCCUGGGGAGUACGGUCGCAAGGCUG
RNAcentral lists this ribosomal RNA (854 nucleotides) under uncultured bacterium. RNAcentral's name for it is "bacterial SSU rRNA". It matches the Rfam family "Bacterial small subunit ribosomal RNA", at positions 28 to 896 of the family's 1533-position model. The record is from RNAcentral.